GGCCGCUGCCCCGCGGGGCUGGCGGGGGCUGUCGCCCUUUGCAGUAUCCAAUGCGAUGCAGGCGGGGAGCUGCCGGAGCCCCAGCCCGCCCUGCAGGUCCGCUUCCCCGCAGGCUGGCGCUUGCCUGUGCCGCCUCUCCGGAGCGAUCCCUUCUGCUCCUCUCUCCGUCCUCCCCUACGAGGCAGCGGCAUCAUCCUCCCCCUUGCUCCUCCACCUCCUCCUCCAACGCGCAGCCCAGGGCUCUGGCAUCCCCGACGCACUUUCUCUUCUCGCUUCUCUGCCCUCCCUCCCCCGGUUCAGAGAAGAAGUAGCUGGAUCGCGCCUGGCAGCUUUCCCUGGAGCCGGAGGAGGAGGCAGGAGGGACCCCGAGAAGUCUCCGGACCCCCCGGGCCGAGCUCUCCGUGGCUCCGGCGGCGCGGGCUGCUCCGCGCUGUAGCGAUGCCUCGGAUCUGACUAUUCCCCGGGAAUGUGUAAAACCAGAUUGGAUAAAGUACAAGAAGGAACAAUCCUGCAAUAGCCAGAGAUUGACCACAGCCCCAGAGACUCACCCCUCAUGUCCCCUGAUUGGCCCCUUGGGUCACCCGGAUGGGGAUAAAAGGGGCAGCACGGCUGACUCAGGGAAGAGACCAGCGAGGGACUAUGAGUAAGGAGCUGACAAGAGCUUAGCCAGCGGGGCAGGAGCAGUUGCCCCAGAAGAGCCUGAAGGAGCAGGACCUGCAGGCAGCAGUUGGACCCUCAGCAGCAUGACGUAUGGCCAGCAGGAGAGGCUCCCUGCA
Long non-coding RNA from Alligator sinensis (Chinese alligator), 776 nucleotides. RefSeq lists it as uncharacterized. Lineage: Eukaryota; Metazoa; Chordata; Crocodylia; Alligatoridae. The record is from RefSeq and is a predicted model, not a curated record. The transcript has 3 exons.